Molecule: long non-coding RNA, 685 nt
Organism: Canis lupus familiaris (dog)
Lineage: Eukaryota; Metazoa; Chordata; Mammalia; Carnivora; Canidae
Exons: 3
Source: RefSeq, a predicted model, not a curated record
CUUUCUCCCUCUACCCCUUGGCUCCACUUUUCUUGGGCCUGACUUUACUUUGGGGCUGCUUUCUCCAAUGGUGGCUCCUGGUGACGUUAGCUUCACAACUGCUGCAGAAAGAACUUCUCUUUGCAAGAGUGACAGUAUGAGUUCUAGAAGCCCGUGGCCCUGGGCUCUGUAGCCUGGUUUUCCUUCCCGUUAGCCCCUUCCUCUGGGAUGAUGCGCCAAGGGAACAGAGCCGCCUGCUGUGGUGUAAGGCGAGGGGCCUAUGGAGAAGGUAAAUUGCAGGAUCACCUGAGUAACUCGAUGCUGAUGAGGAAAGCUUUGAGGCAAACACAACGUGGAUGAAACCAGGACGUUCUCUGAAAACCUGGCUUGUCUCCAGGCUGCUUGGCAUGACCGCGUCCUGUGUGGCUUUCCUCCACAGUGAAAAGUCCUAAGAACAAGUAUUCACCCUGAAACACAGUGGGAUCCCUCAUUUCUCACUGUCUGAGUGGCACUGUGUUCCUUCGUGCUUCCACUUCCUAAGAGGCCUUACUUUCUGAGUACACCUUGUAAUAGUCAGCCUGGAAUUUCCUUUAAUUCCCAUGGAAAUUAUUCUGGGCUUCCUGCCCCACUAGAAAUAGGUAUAGCCAUUUGGGAAGAUCCUUCUUCAAACAUUUAUUUCUGGAGGGAAGAUCCUUAGGAGCCCUGA